AGCUGUUUAGUUUAUUGUUGAAUUUUCAUUUGUGGUGUGAAAGGAUUCGUGGCUU
RNAcentral lists this transfer RNA (55 nucleotides) under Contracaecum osculatum B sensu Nascetti et al. (1993). RNAcentral's name for it is "tRNA-His". Lineage: Eukaryota; Metazoa; Nematoda; Chromadorea; Rhabditida; Anisakidae. The record is from RNAcentral.